This 2002-nucleotide unclassified non-coding RNA is filed under the name Hevea brasiliensis (rubber tree). Lineage: Eukaryota; Viridiplantae; Streptophyta; Magnoliopsida; Malpighiales; Euphorbiaceae. The record is from RNAcentral.
UUCCUUGGAUGUUUAUGAUAGAUAGUAGGGAUAAUUAAAAAAAAAAUUUAGUAAUUUUGAUAUUGAAUCUUUUAUUUUUUUUCCUUAAUUAUGAUGAACAUAUAUAUCUAUACGUUUCCAAAGCUUAAGAUGAAAAUAUGUCCAAGGGUUCACCUAAAGUGAAUUAGAGCAAAUUCGAAGCCAAGUAUUUGGAUAUUAAUUACAAGGGUUCAAAUUGAAAGUUAGAAUCAAGCAUUAGGGCUUUUAUGUUAUUGUCCCCAACCUAGAUAUUCUCUUACCAACACUUUAUAAUUAAUUCAAGUGUGUAUGUAUAAAAGAAGAGUAACUCAGAGCACGAAGAAUCUCACACUUACAAAUUUUGAAGAUAAAUUUUUAUUAUUUAAGGUAUUUUAAUUUUAAGAUCACAUCUUUCAAUUAUAGAUUACAAGUAAUUUGAUCACAUAACUUCCACAUUUAUCAAGAAAAAGAGGUAAAUUUUCCGUUAAUAAAUUCAAGAACUAUUUGAAGAACUAAAGAUAAAAACAUAAAAAGCCAACAAUUAACAAAUAGGAAAGAUUCACAAUAAUAGAGCUUAUGAAAUCAACUACCAAACAAUUCAUCAAAUUGUGGCUGUUGAAACAGAAAUCAACCACUAAGAUUACAUCAUUUCCUUUCAAACAAAACCCUAAAUGUUCUUCUCAUGUAUCCUAUAUGAAAUUUGAAUUUUCCUAAAGUAAAAAACCAAAUUUUCUUUUCCUUUCCUUUUAUUUAAAACCUUCAGUUAUCAUUAAUUAUGUCUCAAAUCCUGUAUGGAACCACAAAAAAGAAUUUAUAUAUAGAAUUUAUCCGUAAUUAAUUUAAAAUUAAGAUUUAAUUAAUUUAUGUAUAUAUAUACAUUAGAUGACAAUGUAUUUCAAUUAUUGACAUAAAUUAGAUAUCAAAUCACAAUUCUUUUUGUAUUGGGAUUGGGAAUAUCUAGUUUUUGCUUAUGCUAAUUAAUGAAGCAGCAAAUUAAAAACACAACAGCAGAAACAAUCUACAGGGUUUAUAUGUUGGGUGUUGACACAAAUUCUUUUAAAAAAAAAAUUAAAUAACUGAUGCAAAGUUGCAACUACAAUCUAUUAGGUGGAUAUUUUAUGUUAGAUUUUCAAUUAUCCACUAGUUGUUAAUUUGUUAUUGUUAUCUUGUAAGAAGUACCAUUGCUCUUUCCAAUUUUUCCAUAUCCAUAGCAAUCUGCAAUUAAUAAGUAAUUCAGACAGUAUCAUCUAAAUUUUUGUUAAUCUAAAUUGGCCGUUAGCUUUGAACAAAAAGAUUGUUCAAACUCCAACUCUAACAAUAUAACAAUGAUAGUAUUGUAGGGAUUUCUUCACAAAUAUGCUACAAAUCAAUAGGGAAUUCUUCAAUCUAUGCUAUAAAUCAAUCAAAGUCUAGAAGAUAGCUAUAAACACUACAGUAAUGAUAAUGAUGCAUAAGAUCAAUCUAAUAAUUUCUUUUCAAUUAAUAACAGUAGCAUUCCUUAGCCUAAAAGAAACUUUUUGUUGUUGAAUUGAUUGUCAAUAACCAAUGAGUACAUUGAACCAUUCAAUUGAGUGUAGCCAAUAUUUUAUGGGGACAUCCUUGCAGGGUUGUUGUUUGUGGUUGUCUAGAGUCUAGCAAAGUGAGUACUAGUACCUUUCUUAUCCAAGAGCAGAAGUAGUACUAUGAUGUUUUGAAAGAAGAGAGAAAAGAAUGCUUCUGAUAUAAACUGAUCAUGCUAAUAAUAUCUAGCAAUAAUAGGACACACUAAUAUGUCUAAUCCUUGAAAAUUUUGUAUUCUUAGCAUAUCUCCCCAUGAUUCUGCCUCCACAUCCCCCACUCAAUAAUGAAAAUAAAUAAUAUUUUGUUAAUAGAAACCAAGCCAUUCUCUUGUUUUUCCAGUUUUGUUGAAACGGUAUGAUUUUUCCAAGAUUGAACAAUGAGAUCAUCAAUGACACAAUAAGUAGCCAGGCCAAAAAGAAAGGAAAAUGGAGAAAAAUAUAUGGGA